AAGGCGCGCGAUACAGGGUGACAGCCCCGUACACAAAAAUGCACAUGCUGUGAGCUCGAUGAGUAGGGCGGGACACGUGGUAUCCUGUCUGAAUAUGGGGGGACCAUCCUCCAAGGCUAAAUACUCCUGACUGACCGAUAGUGAACCAGUACCGUGAGGGAAAGGCGAAAAGAACCCCGGCGAGGGGAGUGAAAAAGAACCUGAAACCGUGUACGUACAAGCAGUGGGAGCACGCUUCGGCGUGUGACUGCGUACCUUUUGUAUAAUGGGUCAGCGACUUAUAUUCUGUAGCAAGGUUAACCGAAUAGGGGAGCCGAAGGGAAACCGAGUCUUAACUGGGCGUUAAGUUGCAGGGUAUAGACCCGAAACCCGGUGAUCUAGCCAUGGGCAGGUUGAAGGUUGGGUAACACUAACUGGAGGACCGAACCGACUAAUGUUGAAAAAUUAGCGGAUGACUUGUGGCUGGGGGUGAAAGGCCAAUCAAACCGGGAGAUAGCUGGUUCUCCCCGAAAGCUAUUUAGGUAGCGCCUCGUGAAUUCAUCUCCGGGGGUAGAGCACUGUUUCGGCAAGGGGGUCAUCCCGACUUACCAACCCGAUGCAAACUGCGAAUACCGGAGAAUGUUAUCACGGGAGACACACGGCGGGUGCUAACGUCCGUCGUGAAGAGGGAAACAACCCAGACCGCCAGCUAAGGUCCCAAAGUCAUGGUUAAGUGGGAAACGAUGUGGGAAGGCCCAGACAGCCAGGAUGUUGGCUUAGAAGCAGCCAUCAUUUAAAGAAAGCGUAAUAGCUCACUGGUCGAGUCGGCCUGCGCGGAAGAUGUAACGGGGCUAAACCAUGCACCGAAGCUGCGGCAGCGACGCUGAUGCGUUGUUGGGUAGGGGAGCGUUCUGUAAGCCUGUGAAGGUGUGCUGUGAGGCAUGCUGGAGGUAUCAGAAGUGCGAAUGCUGACAUAAGUAACGAUAAAGCGGGUGAAAAGCCCGCUCGCCGGAAGACCAAGGGUUCCUGUCCAACGUUAAUCGGGGCAGGGUGAGUCGACCCCUAAGGCGAGGCCGAAAGGCGUAGUCGAUGGGAAACAGGUUAAUAUUCCUGUACUUGGUGUUACUGCGAAGGGGGGACGGAGAAGGCUAUGUUGGCCGGGCGACGGUUGUCCCGGUUUAAGCGUGUAGGCUGGUUUUCCAGGCAAAUCCGGAAAAUCAAGGCUGAGGCGUGAUGACGAGGCACUACGGUGCUGAAGCAACAAAUGCCCUGCUUCCAGGAAAAGCCUCUAAGCAUCAGGUAACAUCAAAUCGUACCCCAAACCGACACAGGUGGUCAGGUAGAGAAUACCAAGGCGCUUGAGAGAACUCGGGUGAAGGAACUAGGCAAAAUGGUGCCGUAACUUCGGGAGAAGGCACGCUGAUAUGUAGGUGAAGUCCCUCGCGGAUGGAGCUGAAAUCAGUCGAAGAUACCAGCUGGCUGCAACUGUUUAUUAAAAACACAGCACUGUGCAAACACGAAAGUGGACGUAUACGGUGUGACGCCUGCCCGGUGC
This 1534-nucleotide ribosomal RNA is filed under the name Escherichia coli. RNAcentral describes it as "partial 23S ribosomal RNA". It matches the Rfam family "Bacterial large subunit ribosomal RNA", at positions 347 to 1869 of the family's 2925-position model. Lineage: Bacteria; Pseudomonadati; Pseudomonadota; Gammaproteobacteria; Enterobacterales; Enterobacteriaceae. The record is from RNAcentral.